RNAcentral lists this non-coding RNA (31 nucleotides) under Homo sapiens (human). The record is from RNAcentral. Lineage: Eukaryota; Metazoa; Chordata; Mammalia; Primates; Hominidae.
UGCCUGUAGUGGAACAAAGUUGGGAUUGUUU